AGGCAACACUUUGUGGCAGAUGAUCAAAACUGUCUGACACAAUUUGAACCUUCCUAUAGCAACAAAGUCUAACCUAUUGAAGUGCUCUCUCCUCUAUGAGACAAACUGUUAUAUAGACUUAGUGUAA
Molecule: small nucleolar RNA, 127 nt
Organism: Pteronotus mesoamericanus
Lineage: Eukaryota; Metazoa; Chordata; Mammalia; Chiroptera; Mormoopidae
Product: small nucleolar RNA SNORA28
Exons: 1
Source: RefSeq, a predicted model, not a curated record